UUCUAACUUAUUUAGAAGGCUAUAAAAUACUUAGGGCUGAGGGUAUAAAUAUUCUCUCUUACCUAAAACUUGUCAGCAGAAAGAUCCUUCUCCAUUGUUGUCACCUCCAGUGCCCCCUCUUGCCACCAUGGAGAUUGGGUCUGCUAUGUUUAUUGCUCUGUGCCUCAGUUACAGCUGUGACACUAAUCUGCCUGCAAAGACCAGCAAAGGGUGCGCGCGUGUGUGUGUGUGUGUGUGUGUGUGUGUGUGUGCGUGCAUGCAUGUGUGAGAAAAGAGAGCCUGCUGACUUCAAGACUGGGAACCUAAACCUCAGGCCAAGUCAAGGCUGAAUGAAAACGAUCAAAGCUCUGUCCUUCAUCAACAGAGUAGACGAGAUCUUUUCCCCCCCCCUCCCCAAGUGGAAAGUAGGACUGUCAUUAGGGAUUCCCACUAAGAAACCUCUAACAGAGGCAGACCUUCUCCAGACUGCUAGUGCCUGCCCAGCAGUCCGUGCAGAAUACAGGAAAUAAAAUGGACCACCUUAAUCAUAUUGAAAAGUACUGAAAGCAGUCAUCCCACCUGAUAAAUCUUAAGGAUCAAAAGAAGUCCUGAGGGCACAUUUUGGAACUGCUUGACCUUCAGCCACUGGAGAAGAGACACUGGCUGAGUAUGAACAGACCGCAAAGAAAUUGGACUGUCACUGGCAAAGAAAGACGCAAUACUCCAGGACUGAACCAAGCCUGCUUCUCAAUGCCAACACAUGGAGGGACACGUUACCUGGAACUCAAAACAGGGGCUGUCUGACUGGUGUUAAAAAACCAGCUUAUAGUCAGGUUGAAGAAAGGGGAAUAAAACACCUGCCCUUUCAUCGCCCAGCUAAUACAAGCUGCUCCAACCAACGCUUUAAACUUCUUGCCUAUCAUAUUUGGCCCCUUUCUUCCACUACAUUCAACCCUUGUAAUCAGCUAAUAUCCACAACACUAUGGUCAAAAACAUUUGCCAAGGAGGGAAUCAGGAAAGGCUGGGUUUGGGGUUUUCUUUCUUCACUGAGUCCCACUGGAAGAGAUCCCACAGCUUUUUCCAUUAUUUACAGUGAUUCAGAGGUAGAGUUGGAGGAAAUAAGAUUAACACUGAUUUGAAAGUCUAAGAGGUAAGCUAGGAAUGAGUAUCCCAGUGCUGAUUUCAGCCCACAUUAAGCAGCAAAGACCAAGUGAUUCUCAGCUGUGAGCCCUGGGACUGUAAAUAUAAUGGCA
Molecule: long non-coding RNA, 1232 nt
Filed under: Struthio camelus australis
Lineage: Eukaryota; Metazoa; Chordata; Aves; Struthioniformes; Struthionidae
Description: lncRNA (ENSSCUG00000008423.1)
Source: RNAcentral